AGUUAAUCCUCUUUCCUCAUUAAAGACAGUUGUAGAUUUUCCCAGAUCUGGCUGACACAUUCCUUGGCUGUUGAGGAACUAAUGAAUUUCAUGGAAACAGAGAAAACAGGCAUAAAUAGUGAAGAGGCCAUGAGAAAGGCAUUUCAAAUCUGUCGGAAUCUGCCUCCAAAGUCAACAAACUCCGUUUCUCCUCAGAACGGUUCAGAAGCAUGAGAAAUCUCCCAGUCUUUGGAGAGUGUCUUAGCAACUAAGUUUAUGAUCCAUUAUCCAUCACAAGAGAUGACUUCAAACUCGGGAUGACCUGUCCAACUGUCCAAAUUCUACCUGAAGUCUCAGCUCAAGUUCUCUCUUUCUUGGAGUCCUCUCUUGGUCCCGGACCUCGCAUUAGAUGGUCAGCCUCAUUUCAUACCUUCACUUUCCUUUUGACUCUUGAACUCUUAUUUGUGCCUUCAUUUGUCUCAAACUCUUGGGCUCAAGUGAUCUUCCCACCUCAGCCUCCCAAAGUGCUGGGAUUACAGGCAUGAGCCACCAUGCCCAGCCAUGUAACUUCAUUUGUAAUACUUAAUGCUGUGUUUUAAUUUUGUUUGUUUACUGGCACUGAACUAUUGUUAGUCUCUGUGUCUUACCUAAAGGUAAGCUCCUUGAGGCCAGAGACUAUGUCUCAUCCUUUCUGGUUUUCCUCUUGGUUCAGCCUCUAACACAGUUCUAGGCUCAUAACGUAUUUUUAAUAAAUAACUUUAUAAUUCAACCAGAUGAAUCUUUCAAUUAAAAUUUUCAGGUUUUUUUUUCUCUUUGGUAUAAUUAUUAAGAGUCCCUGGAUUUUGUAUGGCAAUUAUACUUCCUCGUGGUCUAGAAUUAAGUUGCUUUGGAAAUUCAAAGCAAAACAAAAACACACAAAGAGAAUGAAAAGACAGACAUUGCUAUUGUCAUAUGAUUACUUCUAGAUGGUACUAAUGUGUACACCAACUCUUCAUGAACCACAGUAUGUAAAUAAAUAAGACAUUUUGGGACCAUGUGCUUUUCUAUCUGCUCCCUCUUUUCCCAGCACUCUGAUGUGGUUCUAGACUUCAUUCUCU
Molecule: long non-coding RNA, 1076 nt
Filed under: Homo sapiens (human)
Lineage: Eukaryota; Metazoa; Chordata; Mammalia; Primates; Hominidae
Description: HSALNT0007768
Source: RNAcentral